This 642-nucleotide ribosomal RNA is filed under the name uncultured bacterium. RNAcentral describes it as "bacterial SSU rRNA". It matches the Rfam family "Bacterial small subunit ribosomal RNA", at positions 97 to 733 of the family's 1533-position model. The record is from RNAcentral.
GGCGAACGGGUGAGUAAUAUAUCGGAACGUGCCCAAUAGUGGGGGAUAGCCCGGCGAAAGCCGGAUUAAUACCGCAUGAGACCUGAGGGUGAAAGCGGGGGAUUCGCAAGAACCUCGCGCUAUUGGAGCGGCCGAUAUCAGAUUAGGUAGUUGGUGGGGUAAAAGCCUACCAAGCCGACGAUCUGUAGCUGGUCUGAGAGGACGACCAGCCACACUGGGACUGAGACACGGCCCAGACUCCUACGGGAGGCAGCAGUGGGGAAUUUUGGACAAUGGGCGAAAGCCUGAUCCAGCCAUGCCGCGUGCGGGAAGAAGGCCUUCGGGUUGUAAACCGCUUUUGUCAGGGAAGAAAUCCUCCGAGUUAACACCUUGGAGGGAUGACGGUACCUGAAGAAUAAGCACCGGCUAACUACGUGCCAGCAGCCGCGGUAAUACGUAGGGUGCGAGCGUUAAUCGGAAUUACUGGGCGUAAAGCGUGCGCAGGCGGUCUUGCAAGACAGGUGUGAAAUCCCCGGGCUUAACCUGGGAACUGCACUUGUGACUGCAAGGCUGGAGUACGGCAGAGGGGGAUGGAAUUCCGCGUGUAGCAGUGAAAUGCGUAGAUAUGCGGAGGAACACCGAUGGCGAAGGCAAUCCCCUGGG